ACAGAGAGUCUAAAUACCCUAAAAGCACCAGAAGCAAAGCAGGGUCAUCCUUGGUUAGUACUUGGAUGGGAGACCACCAAAGAAUACCAGGUGCUGUAGGCU
This 102-nucleotide ribosomal RNA is filed under the name Anolis carolinensis (green anole). The record is from RNAcentral. Lineage: Eukaryota; Metazoa; Chordata; Lepidosauria; Squamata; Anolidae.